GAGUUUGAUCCUGGCUCAGGAUGAACGCUAGCGGCAGGCCUAACACAUGCAAGUCGAACGGUAACAGAGAAGAGCUUGCUCUUUUGCUGACGAGUGGCGCACGGGUGCGUAACGCGUAUACAAUCUACCUUUUACAGGGGGAUAGCCUUUAGAAAUGAAGAUUAACACCCCAUAGUAAGUAAUUAUGGCAUCAUAGUAACUUUAAAAUUUCGGUGGUAAAAGAUGAGUAUGCGUUCUAUUAGCUAGAUGGUGUGGUAACGGCACACCAUGGCAACGAUAGAUAGGGGCCCUGAGAGGGGGAUCCCCCACACUGGUACUGAGACACGGACCAGACUCCUACGGGAGGCAGCAGUGAGGAAUAUUGGACAAUGGGCGAGAGCCUGAUCCAGCCAUGCCGCGUGCAGGAAGACUGCCCUAUGGGUUGUAAACUGCUUUUAUAUAGGAAGAAACCUUUCCACGUGUGGAAAGCUGACGGUACUAUAAGAAUAAGGAUCGGCUAACUCCGUGCCAGCAGCCGCGGUAAUACGGAGGAUCCAAGCGUUAUCCGGAAUCAUUGGGUUUAAAGGGUCCGUAGGUGGAUAAUUAAGUCAGAGGUGAAAGUUUGCAGCUCAACUGUAAAAUUGCCUUUGAUACUGGUUAUCUUGAAUUAUUGUGAAGUGGUUAGAAUAUGUAGUGUAGCGGUGAAAUGCAUAGAUAUUACAUAGAAUACCAAUUGCGAAGGCAGAUCACUAACAAUAUAUUGACACUGAUGGACGAAAGCGUGGG
This 765-nucleotide ribosomal RNA is filed under the name uncultured bacterium. RNAcentral describes it as "bacterial SSU rRNA". It matches the Rfam family "Bacterial small subunit ribosomal RNA", at positions 9 to 765 of the family's 1533-position model. The record is from RNAcentral.